AUAUUGGACAAUGGGCGAAAGCCUGAUCCAGCAAUGCCGCGUGAGUGAUGAAGGCCUUAGGGUUGUAAAGCUCUUUUACCAGGGAUGAUAAUGACAGUACCUGGAGAAUAAGCUCCGGCUAACUUCGUGCCAGCAGCCGCGGUAAUACGAAGGGGGCUAGCGUUGUUCGGAAUUACUGGGCGUAAAGCGCACGUAGGCGGGUUUGUAAGUAGGGGGUGAAAUCCCAGGGCUCAACCCUGGAACUGCCUUCUAAACUGCAAGCCUGGAGGUCAGGAGAGGCGAGUGGAAUACCGAGUGUAGAGGUGAAAUUCGUAGAUAUUCGGUGGAACACCAGUGGCGAAGGCGACUCGCUGGACUGAUACUGACGCUGAGGUGCGAAAGCGUGGGGAGCAAACAGG
This 398-nucleotide ribosomal RNA is filed under the name uncultured bacterium. Its description in RNAcentral is "bacterial SSU rRNA". It matches the Rfam family "Bacterial small subunit ribosomal RNA", at positions 361 to 776 of the family's 1533-position model. The record is from RNAcentral.